RNAcentral lists this ribosomal RNA (233 nucleotides) under uncultured bacterium. RNAcentral describes it as "partial 16S ribosomal RNA". It matches the Rfam family "Bacterial small subunit ribosomal RNA", at positions 15 to 238 of the family's 1533-position model. The record is from RNAcentral.
GAUCAUGGCUCAGGACGAACGCUGGCGGCGUGCCUAAUACAUGCAAGUAGAACGCUGAAGGAAGGAGCUUGCUCUUUCCGGAUGAGUUGCGAACGGGUGAGUAACGCGUAGGUAACCUACCUGGUAGCGGGGGAUAACUAUUGGAAACGAUAGCUAAUACCGCAUAACAGUAGAUAUCGCAUGAUAGCUACUUGAAAGGUGCAAUUGCACCACUACCAGAUGGACCUGCGUUG